Molecule: ribosomal RNA, 400 nt
Filed under: phytoplankton environmental sample
Lineage: Eukaryota
Description: partial small subunit ribosomal RNA
Rfam family: Eukaryotic small subunit ribosomal RNA
Source: RNAcentral
AGCUCCAGUAGCGUAUAUUAAAGUUGUUGCAGUUAAAAAGCUCGUAGUUGGAUUUCUGGCCUGACGGAGCUGACCCGCCGCUUCAUUGCGGUGCGUGUUGGACGCCGUCUGCCAUCCUCUCAGAAAACGUUUCUGCCCUUCACUGGGUUGGACUCGCGAUCUGGGACUUUUACUUUGAGGAAAUUAGAGUGUUCAAAGCAGGCUUGCGCUAUGAAUACAUUAGCAUGGAAUAUCAACUUAGGACUUUGGUUCUACUUUGUUGGUUUUCAGGAACUGAAGUAAUGAUUGAUAGGGAUAGUUGGGGGUGCUAGUAUUUCGCGGCCAGAGGUGAAAUUCUUGGAUUCGCGAAAGACUAACUUAUGCGAAAGCAUUCACCAAGGAUGUCUUCUUUAAUCAAGAA